GCGCUUGCUCGUCGGUCUUGCGUUCAUUCCAGCGUCAGGUACUGUAGAGGUUACACGUGUUUUCAAUUCGAUCCGUUGGUGUGUAGCUUGUCGCGUUAGAAACGUGCCUUUUUCUAACGAAGAAAAACAUAGACGUCCUUCACCUUCGACUCACGUGCUUCCUACGUUGGAUUCGUGUGCUGAGAAGAGAGAGAGAGAGAGAAGCCACGUUGCGUCAUAUAAUUGUUCUUCAUUCACCCACGCAUAUAUUUUCGUUCUCUCUCACAUUUACACUUAACCACCAGCCUACAUCUUCUUUGCUUCGUAUAUACGUUAUAAGUGACGAAGAAGAACAAGAAGUAGAAG
RNAcentral lists this long non-coding RNA (345 nucleotides) under Polistes fuscatus (common paper wasp). RNAcentral's name for it is "uncharacterized LOC122519899". The record is from RNAcentral. Lineage: Eukaryota; Metazoa; Arthropoda; Insecta; Hymenoptera; Vespidae.